This 693-nucleotide ribosomal RNA is filed under the name uncultured Perlucidibaca sp. Its description in RNAcentral is "bacterial SSU rRNA". It matches the Rfam family "Bacterial small subunit ribosomal RNA", at positions 815 to 1501 of the family's 1533-position model. The record is from RNAcentral. Lineage: Bacteria; Pseudomonadati; Pseudomonadota; Gammaproteobacteria; Pseudomonadales; Perlucidibacaceae.
ACUAGCCGUUGGGGGACUUGAUCCUUUAGUGGCGCAAGCCAACGCAUUAAGUAGACCGCCUGGGGAGUACGGUCGCAAGACUAAAACUCAAAUGAAUUGACGGGGGCCCGCACAAGCGGUGGAGCAUGUGGUUUAAUUCGAUGCAACGCGAAGAACCUUACCUGGCCUUGACAUGUCUGGAAUCCUGUAGAGAUACGGGAGUGCCUUCGGGAAUCAGAACACAGGUGCUGCAUGGCUGUCGUCAGCUCGUGUCGUGAGAUGUUGGGUUAAGUCCCGCAACGAGCGCAACCCUUGUCCUUAGUUGCCAGCACGUAAUGGUGGGAACUCUAGGGAGACUGCCGGUGACAAACCGGAGGAAGGCGGGGACGACGUCAAAGUCAUCAUGGCCCUUACGGCCCAGGGCUACACACGUGCUACAAUGGUCGGUACAAAGGGUUGCCAACUCGCGAGAGUGCGCUAAUCUCAAAAANGCCNGAUCGUAGUCCGGAUUGGAGUCUGCAACUCGACUCCNAUGAAGUCGGAAUCGCUAGUAAUCGCGGAUCAGAAUGCCGCGGUGAAUACGUUCCCGGGCCUUGUACACACCGCCCGUCACACCAUGGGAGUUUACUGCACCAGAAGUAGGUAGCCUAACCGCAAGGGGGGCGCUUACCACGGUGUGGUCAAUGACUGGGGUGAAGUCGUAACAAGGUAACC